UACGUAGGGUGCGAGCGUUAAUCGGAAUUACUGGGCGUAAAGCGUGCGCAGGCGGUUCGUUGUGUCGGCGGUGAAAGCCCCGGGCUCAACCUGGGAAUGGCCGUUGAAACUGGCGAACUGGAGUGUGGCAGAGGGGGGUGGAAUUCCGCGUGUAGCAGUGAAAUGCGCAGAUAUCAGGAGGAACACCGAUGGCGAAGGCAGCUUGCUGGGACGGUACUGACGCUGAGACGCGAAAGCGUGGGGAGCAAACAGG
Molecule: ribosomal RNA, 253 nt
Filed under: uncultured bacterium
Lineage: Bacteria
Description: partial 16S ribosomal RNA
Rfam family: Bacterial small subunit ribosomal RNA
Source: RNAcentral